This 231-nucleotide unclassified non-coding RNA is filed under the name plant metagenome. RNAcentral's name for it is "partial contains small subunit ribosomal RNA, internal transcribed spacer 1, and 5.8S ribosomal RNA". The record is from RNAcentral.
UCUCCGUUGGUGAACCAGCGGAGGGAUCAUUACCGAGUUCCAGCAACUCCCAACCCUUGCGAACCGUACCCCAGUCUGUUCUCGUUGCUUCCGGCAGGCGGGGGGGGCCACCUGGCCCCUCCCCCUGCCGGGGGCGGCGGGCCCUCCGAACCUUUAUAUCUCAACCACUGAAACCCGUCUGAGCAAAACAAAAAAUAAUCAAAACUUUCAACAACGGAUCUCUUGGCUCUG